RNAcentral lists this long non-coding RNA (1133 nucleotides) under Zalophus californianus (California sea lion). RNAcentral's name for it is "lncRNA (ENSZCAG00015009906.1)". The record is from RNAcentral. Lineage: Eukaryota; Metazoa; Chordata; Mammalia; Carnivora; Otariidae.
AAGGAAAGAGCCCUCAGACGUUUAGAAAACAGCUGUGGUGCUAUUAGAUGAGGAAACCCAAAGGAGAAGAGGUCCCAGUCAGAGUGGCAUUCAGAAUUUACUUCAGAGAGAGAGCAGGUCUGGACCCGGCAAGGUCUUGGGUGCGGCCAUGAGAGACGCGACUGAACUGAUGGAGGGUAGAAUCGUGUUGGAGAUAAGGGUGGUCAAGAACAAGAGGGGAAAUGUAUGGAUGGCUGGUUCCCUUGGAUCUUGAAGGAAGGCACAGACUCAGAAGAGAGAUUUAAUCAUGAAGCUUGGUGGUCGUUUUAAUGUAGCUGCUCUUAGAAGGCUUUUCUGUGGACUAUGGAAACUCCAUCAUGAGAAGCAAGAUAAUCCUUACAAAACAUCCAUUCAUUCUACAAGUGAAAAUUUCAGGAAUACUCGACACUGGCCUUGGCAAGACUAAUGGACCGAGAUUGAGUGAUGGAUUUGUGUGUGUUGUGGCUGACGUGUGUUUUGGUGUUUUGUAUGCUAGUUUAAGAAUAUUUUAGCAUUAGAAGAUUUAUGACAUUUUAAUUAAUGAAUACGAUGAAGGCUUAAACUUGUAGAUGAAAUUAUAAGAUACAAUAUUUUUGUAGCUUAUUUUUGAGCACAAACUUGAUUGUUUUUGUUGCUUUAAGAAAGGACCUGCUGAUAAUGUUAGCUUUCUUUUCUGUUUCAGUGUGACCACUUUAACUGAUAUGUAAGCCAUUACUUUUUAAGGGAAAUAAAAUGAGGCAAUACAGCCUAGUGAAAAGGACACACAGUAUCAGAUUCUUAAUUGCUAAAUUAAAUUUGGGCUCUUACUUGAUUUCUGCUAUGAACUGGCUGCACGACUUUGAAUAAGUUAUUAAGUUCCCCUUUAAAAAAUAUAAAAUUGGAAUGAGAAAUAUGUGAUAGUGAAAAAUAUUUGUGAAAGUGUUUUAAAGUCCCAUGAAGAAAGCACAAUCAGAAACCACAGUUGGGUUGGCUAUUUCACUGAAAAUAAUCUGAUCUUGUCAGUAAACCUAAAUUUUAGUAAGAUUGGUUUAUUUUUUUUAAGCCAUUUAAUUUCAGAUGCUUAGGAACUCUUCAAUUUGUUAAUGGAAAGAAACGCUGUAUACACCGGAUGGCUA